CAAGUGUUAUGCUGCUAAUCUUAUGUAGCUUCGUUUCUGAAUUUAUAUUGUUUGUGUGAUUGUUUGAGACUGCAAAAAGCUUAAGCUUAUAUCUACUGGUGAGUUUGAAGAUGUAACUAGUUUUCCAUUUCAUGCAGGUGUGUCUUACAAUUUCGAAAAGACUGAUAAUGGUAUUUUCCGGUUAAAGCUCACUGCAAAUGC
This is a long non-coding RNA of Triticum dicoccoides, 201 nucleotides long. RefSeq lists it as uncharacterized. Lineage: Eukaryota; Viridiplantae; Streptophyta; Magnoliopsida; Poales; Poaceae. The transcript has 2 exons. The record is from RefSeq and is a predicted model, not a curated record.